GAAAAUGAAAGAAAUGGAGCAAGAGAUUGAGGAGUUGAAGAAAGCGGCGUCUGAACGUAGCAAAGUAGCGGAGUUAUCGAUCGAAAGUGACGAGCUUUCUUCUUCUCAGAGGUUUCAAGGACUAGUGGAAGUGUCAGUGAAGUCGAAUCUGAUCAAGAAUUUAAAAAGAGCAAAGAGUUCAGACGGGGUCAUUUCUUCAUUAAGUUCUGAUACUUCUAAUCAUAAUCACAAGCUUGAGCGACAAGAUUCUAAGAGAGAAGAACCAGAGGGUGAGAGACCAAGGCACUCGCGGUGUAACUCAGAAGAACUCACCUUCUCCUUCGCCUUCGACUCAACUCAGUCUAGUCUCAGAUCACGUGUUCCUCGCGUGCCGAAUCCACCGCCAAAACCAUCAUCAUCCUCUUCACUUCCAGCAGAUAACAAACUUUCAGCGGGUAAACAGUUUCCUCCACCGCCUCCGCCUCCGCCUCCAGCGCCAAAGCCGUUGCCUGCUCCGGCAAUGUCAGCGCCUCCACCGCCUCCCCCGCCUCCGAAGGGACUGAGAGCGGGGCCAGCGAAGGUCAGGAGAAUUCCGGAGGUAGUGGAGUUCUACCAUUCUUUAAUGCGCAGAGA
This 612-nucleotide long non-coding RNA is filed under the name Citrus x clementina. RNAcentral describes it as "Citrus clementina (C. clementina) long non-coding RNA (CCLE_LNC005740)". The record is from RNAcentral. Lineage: Eukaryota; Viridiplantae; Streptophyta; Magnoliopsida; Sapindales; Rutaceae.